GACGAACGCUGGCGGCGUGCCUAACACAUGCAAGUCGAACGAAGUGGCGAACGGGUGAGUAACGCGUAAUCAACCUGCCCUUCAGAGGGGGACAACAGUUGGAACCGAAUGCUAAUACCGCUUACGGACGGAGGGGAUUGUGUGGGAAUGGCUAGUUGGAGGGGUAACGGCCCACCAAGGCGAUGAUUAGUAGCCGGGCUGAGAGGAUGAACGGCAAAAUGGGGACUGAGACACGGCCCAGACUCCUAGGGGCGGAAGCAGGGGGGAAUCUUACGAAAUGGACGAAAGUCUGACGGAGCAACGCCGCGUGAGUGAUGACGGCCUGCGGGUUGUAAAGCUCUGUUAAUCGGGACGCGGUACCGGAAUAGAAAGCCACGGCUAACUACGUGCCAGCAGCCGCGGUAAUAC
Molecule: ribosomal RNA, 408 nt
Filed under: uncultured bacterium
Lineage: Bacteria
Description: partial 16S ribosomal RNA
Rfam family: Bacterial small subunit ribosomal RNA
Source: RNAcentral